CAAAACACGCUUUAUAAGGGUGUGAAAACUUCUCUUUAGUAGAUGCGUCUUAAAAUCGUGAUGUUGACGAUUAUACGUAAUGGAUCAAAGCGGACAAUAUUUACUAGUUAUGAGCUUAGGCCGUUACACGUAGCUCAACAGAAAUAGAUCGAAUUUAUUAAAAAAUGGCUCGAAGGGCUCAGGUGCAAGGAACACAUAACAGCAUUGAAAACCAUAACACAAACAUUCAAGAAUUUGAGAAAGAAAAACUAAAUGAGAACACACUUCA
Long non-coding RNA from Cucurbita moschata (crookneck pumpkin), 268 nucleotides. RefSeq lists it as uncharacterized. The record is from RefSeq and is a predicted model, not a curated record. NCBI's taxonomy places the organism in Eukaryota, Viridiplantae, Streptophyta, Magnoliopsida, Cucurbitales, Cucurbitaceae. The transcript has 3 exons.